AGUGAACGCUGGCGGUAGGCCUAACACAUGCAAGUCGAACGGCAGACAGUAAGAGCCUGCUCUUACGGGUGGCGAGUGGCGGACGGGUGAGGAAUACAUCGGAAUCUACCUUUUCGGGGGGGAUAACGUAGGGAAACUUACGCUAAUAACGCAUACGACCUACGGGUGAAAGCAGGGGAUCUUCGGACCUUGCGCGAUUGAAUGAGCCGAUGUCGGAUUAGCUAGUUGGCGGGGUAAAGGCCCACCAAGGCGACGAUCCGUAGCUGGUCUGAGAGGAUGAUCAGCCACACUGGAACUGAGACACGGUCCAGACUCCUACGGGAGGCAGCAGUGGGGAAUAUUGGACAAUGGGCGCAAGCCUGAUCCAGCCAUACCGCGUGGGUGAAGAAGGCCUUCGGGUUGUAAAGCCCUUUUGUUGGGAAAGAAAAGCAGCAGGUUAAUACCCCGCUGUUCUGACGGUACCCAAAGAAUAAGCACCGGCUAACUUCGUG
This 491-nucleotide ribosomal RNA is filed under the name uncultured bacterium. RNAcentral describes it as "partial 16S ribosomal RNA". It matches the Rfam family "Bacterial small subunit ribosomal RNA", at positions 29 to 507 of the family's 1533-position model. The record is from RNAcentral.